GCGUGCAAGGAGCCAAGCAUG
Molecule: microRNA, 21 nt
Filed under: Oryza sativa (Asian cultivated rice)
Lineage: Eukaryota; Viridiplantae; Streptophyta; Magnoliopsida; Poales; Poaceae
Also listed under: 4 other names
Description: osa-miR160a-3p
Gene: osa-miR160a-3p
Source: miRBase by way of RNAcentral